CAAGCGGAACUUUCUGUUGAAAAAUGAAAACCGAGGCGAGCAGAUCAGUAGCAUGAUUAAUACGGCGCCGUUGAACUUAUUCUCUUUCAUAUCUAGUAAAACGCCAAUCUUGGCCAGCUCUCAGCUAACACCUUCUCUUCCUCUAAAUUUUCUACCCCCAAAAAAAAAAAAAUAAUAAAAAUAAAAAUAAAAAUAAAAUCACCUGGAAAAAAAUAUAUUUUUCUAUUAUUUCAAUCAAGUCCCUUUUCGCAAACCCUACUUUAUCAUUCAUAUCCCCGUCACAGGCAAAACGGUGUUGACCUAGAGAAAAGAAGUGGGAUUUUUUUUUCUCAAUCUGAUCCCUUAUAGUUGAAUUGUGCUCAAAAUAAUUUAAAAUGGCUGGGAGAAACCGCAUUCCUCGUGAAGCCUUCAAUGACCGGCGAGGAUUCCCUCCUGAAAGACCUUUCCUUCGUGGUCCUCCUCUGCCACAACCACCUCCUCAUCCUGUGUUGUUGGAGGAAGAACUUGAAAUGCAGCAUGUAGAAAUUCGUAGGCUUUUGACUGAUAACCGCAGGCUGGUGGAAGAUCGAAUGGCUAUACAACAAGAGCUUGCUGCUGCAAAGGAAGAAAUUCAUCGUUUAAACCUUGUCAUUGGUGAAAUUCGUGCAGAACAAGAACUGCACUCAAGGGGACUUAUUGAGAAAGGCUUGAAACUGGAGGCAGAUCUCCGUGCAACUGAGCCAUUGAAAAAAGAGGCUGUGCAACUCCGUGCAGAAGUUCAGAAACUGAAUAAUGUUAAGCAGGAGCUAACUGGCCAAGUUCAGACUAUCAAGCAAGAUGUUGCUAGGCUGCAAGCUGAUAAUCAACAGAUACCUAUUCUAAGAGCAGAAAUUGAUGGCCUGCACCAGGAGCUGAUGCAUGCAAGGACGGCUAUUGAUUUUGAAAAGAAGGCAAAUAUUGAGCUGAUGGAACAGAGACAAGCAAUGGAGAAGAACAUGGUCUCCAUGGCACGUGAAGUUGAAAAGCUACGUGCAGAACUUGCCAAUGUGGAUGGUAGACCAUGGGCUGCCGCUCCUGUUGGACCAUAUGGGAUGAAAUUCAACAGUUCAGAGGGAGCUUUUCCAGCCCCAUAUGAAGGAUAUGUGGCUCAUCUGGGUGUUGCUGACAAGGGUCCUUUUUAUGGUCCUGGUCCUGCUUCUUGGGAGAAGCCUCGCAUGACUCGUCGCUAGGAGAGUUAUUACUUGGUGGAAGAAAGGCAACAUUGUUGCUCCACUUAUGAAGUGCAAAAUAUUGAUCAGCGUGGAGUUCAUCAUCUAUGUGUGCAUGCCACAUCAGUUUUUAUCUUAAUACAUUAUGGGAAGCUGGUUUAUCUCAUGCAAAAAGGUAAAGAAAGAAGAUCAGGUAUAUCUUACAUGAGAUUGAGGAAAUAUGAAUGAGGUAAAGUUACAUGUGCUUCCGGAAAAACUUGGAAGAAGAUGAAAAAAUAAUCUUCUGUCUGCAUGCAGAGUCAAAUCCAGGGAGGCAGGCAGGGGUCAUGCCCCCCUCCCAUAAAAAACUUGAUAAUUCUAUAAUUCACUCUUCCAGUCCCUUAAUAUAAUACUUGCCCCCUCUUCUCAACUUGAUUCACUGUUUCGCACCCCCCUUUCAUUGGUUUGCUGGCUUCGUUCAUUGGUAUAUGUGCAUUUCUUAAAGUAGAUGCAGGGAACUUUGUUGUAUGAUUUUAUUUAGUUUAGGUGUGCUAUGCUGCGAAGGUGGUUGUAAGUAGUUAGGUGACACAAUGACAGCCAGUACUUUAUGUUCUGUAGUCAAAUGACCUCCAUCCCCAUUCCAUUUUGGGAUCUCCUGCAAUCUCUAGUGACUGCAGGUUUUGAUCACAAUUCCUUGGCAUGAUCAACCAAGGACGUUAUGCUUGUUUCACAGCCAGCAUUGCCAUAAAUGUGCUACUGUCUUGCUCAUCUCUGGUUAGAUGGAAUGUCCAACCAGCCUAGAACUGGCUAACAUCUCCGAACUUUAUUUUUUGGUGGUUUAUGUGUGAUAUAUUUCUGAAAAUUGUUUUUUCCAGGUUAUAACAUUUACGUAUGAGAAGAAAACUCACGUUCUAUUUUCAAAAAGAAAAUUUUUGCUGGCCACUAAUUACUAACAAGUAUUAAGUACAAGAUUGAAUGCCUGCGCUAGCUAAUUGGAUUUGUUAUAUAUUCUGGAAUGAAACUUUGUGUUCUUUGCGUGAUAUAAUGUUAGGUUAUAGCUAUUACGAAUUUCCCUUUUUCAAGUCUGUGUGUAAAACAGAUAUGAUCUCAUGCUCCACUUCCUUUUAUCAUGCAUAGUCUAUGUCACACCUAUCCUGGGUAAUUGGUGUCAUGUGUUGCUACUUUGAUUACUGAAGCUGAUGUAAUGCUGUAACUAGAGACUCUCUGCCCCUUUUCUCUGUAGUAUUGAGAUAGUCUUGUAAACAAUAGCCAUGAAUCUCUCUUGUUUAACUUAAAAUCAUACUGGUCAUUGGAAUGUGAAAAUCUUCUUUUAUAUAUAUAAAUAUAUAUAUAAGCCUAUAUUUAGAGUUACGGGUUUCCUUAUCUUGUUCAUUCAGUGUUUUAGUAGACAAAAAGGAAAGAUGAAGGCAGUUUUAUAAAGUAGAAUGUUGAAAUCAAAUUGUAAGUUUGAGGCAUAGUCUUCUAUUCCAUUUCUGAUUUUAUCACAAUAAUUCAACUUUUAAGACUUACACUGGGCGUCUAACUCCGGCGAUAUUUGGCUUGACAAUCUUUAAGCUUUUGAUUUACUCCCCACGUUAUUGUCAGGGAAAAGGCGUGAAGUAAUAACAGUGAUGUUGUCUGUUAUUAGAUUGAAUUUUAAUUUCAAUAAUUAUGUUUUAGUCAUGACAAUUUAC
Durio zibethinus is the source of this 2860-nucleotide RNA transcript. It is a transcript of the gene named DNA double-strand break repair protein, with no coding region annotated. NCBI's taxonomy places the organism in Eukaryota, Viridiplantae, Streptophyta, Magnoliopsida, Malvales, Malvaceae. The record is from RefSeq and is a predicted model, not a curated record.